GAUGAACGCUGGCUACAGGCUUAACACAUGCAAGUCGAGGGGAAACGCCGGGGAAGCUUGCUUCCCCGGGCGUCGACCGGCGCACGGGUGAGUAACGCGUAUCCAACCUGCCUCUGACUGAGGGAUAACCCGUCGAAAGUCGGCCUAAUACCUCAUGGCAUCGUCUGCGGGCAUCCAACGACGAUUAAAGAUUUCAUCGGUCAGGGAUGGGGAUGCGUCUGAUUAGCUAGUUGGCGGGGUAACGGCCCACCAAGGCGACGAUCAGUAGGGGUUCUGAGAGGAAGGUCCCCCACAUUGGAACUGAGACACGGUCCAAACUCCUACGGGAGGCAGCAGUGAGGAAUAUUGGUCAAUGGGCGAGAGCCUGAACCAGCCAAGUAGCGUGCAGGAGGACGGCCCUAUGGGUUGUAAACUGCUUUUAUGCGGGGAUAAAGUGAGGGACGUGUCCUUCAUUGCAGGUACCGCAUGAAUAAGGACCGGCUAAUUCCGUG
This 491-nucleotide ribosomal RNA is filed under the name uncultured bacterium. Its description in RNAcentral is "partial 16S ribosomal RNA". It matches the Rfam family "Bacterial small subunit ribosomal RNA", at positions 28 to 507 of the family's 1533-position model. The record is from RNAcentral.